Long non-coding RNA from Stomoxys calcitrans (stable fly), 1183 nucleotides. RefSeq lists it as uncharacterized. The transcript is spliced from 3 exons. The record is from RefSeq and is a predicted model, not a curated record. Lineage: Eukaryota; Metazoa; Arthropoda; Insecta; Diptera; Muscidae.
CGAGUAAUUCUUAAAAUCAAAUUACGAAUCCCAAAAGGAAACUUAUUACAAACUAACUACAAUCUGUUUGCAAACUUUUCAAGUUCAAGUCACAUUAUCAAAGUUUAUUAUUGAAAAACAAAACAAAACUGACAUACAAAAACGUGAAAUCCUGACUAGACCAGACGUUUCGAGCAACAGAUGUUUGCCAUGUUCGCCACAAAGAUCCAACAGGGUAUCUGGCUUCUUUUUUCCUCGCCAAGCUGGUUAAGCAUUCAAGGAGAUGAAAACCUCAAGCCUACAAAUGGACUGGCAUAUCAAAGCCAUGGCCGUUCCAUACCCUGAUGACGAGAACAACUAUACUAUUGAUGGUGCUGAUGAUGCGGAUACUAUGCCGCCCAAAGCCUCCAAUGUUGCAUAUAAAAUGAUGAUAAUCACCAUCAUUAUGAUCAUCAUGAUGACAUUGCACAAAUAAGCGAGCAACCACUUCGUCUACUUGGCUGCUACAACUGUUUUAGGUUUUUAUCCAACACAGAGAAAAAAUACCUUAACUAACUUGGUGGCUGCGAUAUGUAUGUGCUCGUAUGUACCUAUGGAUAGUUUUUUCUUUUGCCUUCCCAAAGACAUGCUAUUGUGGAGCAACUGCAUUGUGUGGACGCGGAAUUUUGUGAUACCCACUGACUACUGGUAUUUAAUAGCCAUGAUUUGGAAAAUUAAAGGAAAAUGUAUGAUGUUGUGUCAUAAAGAUUACAAAAUGAACAUUUGAUAUGUUGAAAUGCUGCAAAGCAAAUGGAAACAGAAUGAGAGAAACGGACAUGACUACAUACCGAAAAACAUCUUGCAAACAGUAGGAAAAACAAAGAUUCAAGAAAUGUACAUGAUGUAUAAUGUUGCUGAAUAAAAACGAAGCAUUAAUUAACCCCCUUCGGCUAGAAAGAUCCGCUUGAAAAUUUUUUUACUCGGUUUAUUAGGUAAAAGAAAUGGUAGACUUGCACCACUUUCCAUAUAAGCAAAAUUCGAUGGCAAUCAGACAGAAGAUGCGACUUGUUCUUUGAUGCAAGAAUACAAAGACAGACAGACGGAAAUAAUAAUUCGUAUCAGGAUGCCAUUCUAUGUUGACCUGUAUACCAAGCAAUGGGUCUAGCAUUUCCCCUACUUAGUAUUGUAAACAUAUGCAUAUGCUGGGUGUAUCAAAGCAGUGGUG